GACGAACGCUGGCGGCGUGCCUAACACAUGCAAGUCGAGCGAAUGAAGUUCCUUCGGGAAUGGAUUUAGCGGCGGACGGGUGAGUAACACGUGGGCAACCUGCCUCAUAGAGGGGAAUAGCCUCCCGAAAGGGAGAUUAAUACCGCAUAAGAUUGUAGUACCGCAUGAUACAGCAAUUAAAGGAGCAAUCCGCUAUGAGAUGGGCCCGCGGCGCAUUAGCUAGUUGGUGAGGUAAUGGCUCACCAAGGCGACGAUGCGUAGCCGACCUGAGAGGGUGAUCGGCCACAUUGGGACUGAGACACGGCCCAGACUCCUACGGGAGGCAGCAGUGGGGAAUAUUGCACAAUGGGGGAAACCCUGAUGCAGCAACGCCGCGUGAGUGAUGACGGCCUUCGGGUUGUAAAGCUCUGUCUUCAGGGACGAUAAUGACGGUACCUGAGGAGGAAGCCGCGGCUAACUACGUG
RNAcentral lists this ribosomal RNA (464 nucleotides) under uncultured bacterium. RNAcentral's name for it is "partial 16S ribosomal RNA". It matches the Rfam family "Bacterial small subunit ribosomal RNA", at positions 28 to 507 of the family's 1533-position model. The record is from RNAcentral.